This 89-nucleotide transfer RNA is filed under the name Nitrososphaeria archaeon. RNAcentral describes it as "tRNA-Asp". It matches the Rfam family "tRNA". From Rfam's summary of the family: Transfer RNA (tRNA) molecules are approximately 80 nucleotides in length. Their secondary structure includes four short double-helical elements and three loops (D, anti-codon, and T loops). The record is from RNAcentral. Lineage: Archaea; Thermoproteati; Nitrososphaerota; Nitrososphaeria.
GCCGGGAUACCCUAGCCUGGUAGGGGGCAGUUUCGUCGAGCCUGUGGCCUGCGAAGGCCUCGAGGGUUCAAAUCCCUCUCCCGGCGCCA